This is a long non-coding RNA of Scleropages formosus (Asian bonytongue), 1231 nucleotides long. RefSeq lists it as uncharacterized. NCBI's taxonomy places the organism in Eukaryota, Metazoa, Chordata, Actinopteri, Osteoglossiformes, Osteoglossidae. The transcript is spliced from 7 exons. The record is from RefSeq and is a predicted model, not a curated record.
GGCUGCAGAAGAUGUGACCCGAGAAAGGACUUAUGAAAACGGGCCUCGCCUUACGUGGGCUAGGGCUCUCCUUUUGAGCCAAGAAGCAGGGAAAAGAGCAGCGAUGCCUGUGCUGGAGUUGCUGGAAGUGCGUGGCACCCGAACACGCUGCACAUUGUGCCUGCAGAGAUUGAUGUUUUGUCAUCCACCUGCUUCAAAGCUGCAAAACCAGCCGCUGCACAAGAAAACCCAGGCGGCUUCAAAAAAGGCAAACAAAGAAAUGUUAGCAGCCUGUUUACAUAUGAGUGGAGGAGUAUCGGGGCUCGUGCCGGCAUGAGCCUGAGAUGCAGGAGAGCUUUCAGAGCCUGCAGACGGGAGAUGGAGAGAAUAAGACGGCAAAGCUGCCGAAGCCCAGAAUGAAAGCGAACCAGCAGGUGAGCCCGGAGGCUGGGGGGCGUCUCAGGCCUCUCUGCUCCUUCCCCCGUUGACUUCCGCGAAGAUGGUGAAGAGCGACCGAGGUGCGAGGGGCUGCUUCUUGUAUGGCAGAGGGAGAGGACAGGCGCCACGUAAGCCUGGGUGGUGUCUCGCUGCACAGGAACGUCUAGACGCCCGUGGAAUACGCAGCCGCAGGUUCCUCCGGUACUGCCGACACCCGCGGGACUAUGGGAGAUAUCGCAGUGGACCGCACUCCCCUUUCGAGGGCUGCCCUCGUUCUUAAGAAGACCAGCUUGGCGACCGGAAGGUUGCAUGGAUCUGAUCAUUGGAGAUCCCAGGUGUACUUUUCUCAGAGCAGAGAUAGUGAGGAAGAUGAUGGAUGUGUUGGGAAGACACGGCACACGCGGCGGCCCCGGAAAUCAACGGAAGCGAACGUCGGGCGGCAGGAGAAUUUCUGCGAACGGCUUCCCCGAAAGCCUGCGAUGGAGCCGUGUGCUGGAGCAAGGUAUUUUUACUCUGUCAUCGCGCCGCUUUGUUCCAAGGAGCGCCCCAACGUGUCCGAAUCGGGCGCCGCCGGCCUCGUCUCCGACCAGCGUGCGUGGAAGGGAGUGGAGGUGGAGCAGAGCCACAGUGACACGUUGUAGGUAAGAGAUGAACACUCGCAGGCCGUAUUGCACACUUUGUAUAUAUUACUGCUGAUCCGCGUUCCCAAUUGUCCAAGGUUUCUGUGCGUUAUUAAAAACCGGGAAAGCUAUAUGAGAGCUUUGGGCCACAGCUUACAGCAGCUCAUGUGCUGUGGAGGAUAUUAGCGUCCGAC